UCGGACAACACCGACCCCCAGC
RNAcentral lists this microRNA (22 nucleotides) under Chlamydomonas reinhardtii. RNAcentral's name for it is "cre-miR1149.1". The record is from miRBase by way of RNAcentral. Lineage: Eukaryota; Viridiplantae; Chlorophyta; Chlorophyceae; Chlamydomonadales; Chlamydomonadaceae.